Molecule: long non-coding RNA, 8381 nt
Filed under: Triticum aestivum (bread wheat)
Lineage: Eukaryota; Viridiplantae; Streptophyta; Magnoliopsida; Poales; Poaceae
Description: long non-coding RNA (TAES_LNC009052)
Source: RNAcentral
AAUAAACAUUUAUCAUGAUAUAAGGAAAUAUAAAAUAACAACUUUAUUAUUGCCUCUAGGGCAUAUUUCCUUCAGGGGAGUCGCCCGUUCUUUUGUGAAAACCCAGCUUGACAAUUUCUCUCUCACAAAAUCCCCUUUUUUAUGACAAGUCCCGUCAAUAUUUUCUCUCUCACAAAAAGCCCUUGUUUUAUUCGUAAAAACCCAUGAUGUUUUCUCUCUCAUAAAAGAGCCCUGGCCCACCUGCCAGGGACCUCGGGACUCAAACCACAUACAUGCAGACUACAGAAACAGGUGUGUACCACCCCAUCCAUCGCCAUUUGUGGUUGAAUAUGCAUAGGAAAUCUCUAUAUCCUUUGUAGGGAAUAAUAGUUUUAAUCAAAAUGAAAAAUAUAGCCAAGGGAAUUGAGCCGGCGACCUCAUACGAACUUGCACCUCUGCCUGCCACUACAAAGAAGAAGAUAUAAUGUAUAAAUAGGAUAAUUAAACUUUCUGUUUGCAAACUGUAGUCAUAUGUUAUAAAUAAUUAAAAAUAAUUAUAUAAAAAAUAUGUACAAGUAAUUUAAAAAGCUAUUAUAUAUUUAAAUAAAUGAUGAUAAAAGUUUGAAAAUGUUCAUGAUUAAUAAAAUACUCAUGAUUUUAUAGAAAAUAGGUUACUUUAAGAACCUGAUGUAAUAAAUUUGUGUAUUGUCUAAAAAAAUAUAAAUUAAAAAUUAAAUUAGAUAUAAAAUAUAAAUAUGUAUGAAAAAUAUAAGUGAGCAUAGUGUGCCCCUAGACUGCAGAUCUUCAAAUGAAUAUUAUUUUAAGUUAUGUACACUUUUUUCAUUAUAUGAAGAUGUUUUAUAAUGAUACGCGAUUUUUAAAAAAUAAGGACAUUUCUCUAACUUAAUUUAUUUGUAUGCAUUAUUUAUAACAUGAAAUAUCCCAACUUGGUUGUUUUUACUGUGAUUAUUAAUUUUAAAAUUUCUAAAAAAGUCUAACUUGCGGAAAAUGGGCCGCACUGACUUUAGACUAUUACUUUAUAUCAUAAUUAAUUAUAUGGCUAUAACUAAAAUUAAUAAUUGAAUAUUUAAUGAAAUUAUACUAUCAAUUUUUAAAUUUUAUUUGUUUAUUUUUAUGUAUACUGUUUUUAACAUAUGAUUACAGUUUGGAUACAAAUAGUUUGACUCUUUACACAUGAUAUCUUCUUUGUUGGAGUGGUAGGCAGAGGUGCAACCUCGCAUGAUGUCUCCUGUUCGAUACCCUCGCUUGUCUUUUUUCAUUUUGAUUAUUCACUCCAAAGAUAUAUAAAUUUCCUAUCCUCAGUUAACCACAGAUGCGAUGGCUUGGUUGGCUAUACACCCGCUCGUGCAGUCCGUGGGUCUGUGGUUCUAGUCCCCGUACAGACAAGUAUAGGUCUCCCUUAUAAUUUUUAAGGUCGCUGGUAGGUGGGCCAGGACUCUUUUGUGAGAAAAAAUGAUGAGGGGUUUUCCAAAAAAUAGGGGUUAUUUUUGUGAGAGAAAAUAUUGAGGGGUUUUAAAAAAAACAGGGGCUUUUUUGAGAAUUUUGAUCAACUUCCUUUAAUAAAAAAACAGGCCACACGCCCCGUCUCUCGUUGACAGCGGGCCCCAGGCCACACUGGUGCGCCUAGUCAGUGCCGAUUUCGUAUCUAACCGUGAUUAGCACUGUGUUUGCACAAUAGAGCCAAAAUUUUGCAACACUUCAAUGUUUGCUGCGGUUUCUAUCACUAAGGUGAUCAUUUGCGUCAAGUUCUAGCACCACCAACGUAAUUGACUCGCUAAAGAAAUUUGACAUCCGUGGACAACACAAAUUGCCAUAAAAACGUUCGCAUUUGCCAUGCCUUCCAACGAACGUUCGCUGGUUACGAUGGUUCUAUGUAAUUUAUCUCAAUAACUAUAUAUAAUUUGACGGAAUUUGUAAUUUAUACAUGUCGAUUUUGUGGAAAUAGGAAUGUCUGGAUUAAAAAAAAGGCUAGAGGAAGAAGAAAUAAGGACUACCUGCAUCUUAAUCUAAUAACCCGAAAAUUUGACUUAGGUGUGUAUAGUUGGUCCCUUAAUUAUCAUUAUUUCGUUGGCUUUUAAGGGGUCUAGUACUCCAUCCGUUUCUUUUCAAUUGGCAUAUAAAUUUUUCUCCACCAAAAUCGUAAAUUUUGAUCAAUUUUACAAAAAAAAUAUCAACAUUCAUAAUACGAAUAUUAUUAGAUGCUUCAUGAAAUUGAUUUUCAUACUAUAUAACUUUAAUAUUAUAGAUAUUGAUAUUUUUCAAGAUAAUUUUGUUCAAACUUUGUGUAGUUUGAUUUCAAAUAAAUUUAUUUUGUACGAAGGGUAAACAGAAACGGAGAGAGGAUGGUUGCACGCGAGCUCAGAGCAAAGCAGGAGGACCAAAAGCAUGUGGGUAUAAAUUUUGGCGCGAAAAAGUGGCGCGGGUAUUCUUUUCGCGCUAACGGAAACGAUUUUGGCGCGAGCCUUGCUAUGACAUGGGCGCCAAAAUUCGCAAGAAAUCCCCUUCUAACAGAGAGCGGAGCGAGACCAUCGAUCCCCAAUCCAGGAGGCGAGGGAGGAAGAGAUGGAGCCGUCGCAGAGAAGCGAGGGCGCCAGCAUCAAGAAGCCCAGGACCCCGCCGGCGCCGCCCGGGGCCUACACCGGCGCCGAGCUCCUCGGGGAAAUACUCCGUCGCCUCCCCGACAUGGCGUCACUCGCCAGCGCCGCCCUCGUCUGCAAGCGCUGGGGCCGCAUCGCUUCCGACCCCGCCGUCUUCCGCCGCUUCAGCUCCCUCCGCAGGCCCCCGCUCGUCGGCGUCAUCCUCACCGACCUUGGCCGCGAGCGCUUCCCCCUCCACAACCCUGCUCUCCGCUUCAUUGCGGCACACUCGCGUCACCCCGAGCAGGACCUCGCCGCAGCAUUCGGCGAUUUCUACUUCCAACGCCACCCCGAGAUUAAAGCUGCCGACGAGUGGCGCCUCCGUGGCUGCGACGGUGGCCUCCUCCUCCUCUCCUGCGGCCGCUAUGCGUCGAAGCUCGCCGUCUACGACCCUCUCGAGUGUACUGCCAUCUUCUUCCAGCCACCCGAGCGCUGGCACACCGGCCGGUACGCCAUCGUCGCCGACGAGGCCGACGCCUCCUUCCAGGUCAUCGGCAUAGAUCUCUGGGUCGAAGAAACCUUUGCCGUCUUCUCCUCCCGCACCGGCAAAUGGGUCGUGCUUGACUCAUCGUUUCCAUACUGGGGAUUCGCGUGGCCUCGCAGCGACGGUAUGGCCGCUGGGCGGUUCGCGUACUGGCGGUCGAACACCAAGAAGAACUUGUUAAGACCAUGGGAUCGACUAGGCUAGGAUUUCGGAGUAGAUUGAACUAUCUAUGAUCUGUUUGUGUGUAUACCUUAGCGUUCCGGCCAUCGCUUCAGCGACGGUCGGUGUAGAGGUCGAUGGUGAUGGCCGAGAGUGGUGGCGUCGGUGGGCUUCCCAUCGCUUCAGCGCCUCCCUCUAGAUCGGAUAGGGUUAGGAGUGGGGAACAGUGGUGGCGACGAACCUCGUACCUCGUGCCUCUGAUCCCCACCUCCUCUUUAUAGCACUGCGCGACAGGGGCUCACCAGCCUUGCUUGGGUUGGACGCCCCCGAUCAGGGCGUGGGUCAAGGACCCAAUGAGCCGUUGGGCCCAUUGGUGGAGAGAUCAACCUAACAUUCUCCCCCUUGAUCUCAUCAUUAUACUUUUAACUUUAUACUUCGAAAUAACUCUUUUUAACGUACUCGUUCCAUCACAGAUUUGCAUGUAGAGCAUGUCUCAUCGUCACGGUUCAUUCCCGAUAGAAUCAACACCUACAACACACUCCUCUGUUUUGAAACAGAUUCUUUAACCUUGGACCCUUUUAUUGUCCGGAAAUCUUAGACUAUACCAUAAAAUCCAUGUCGACUGUGUGUUCUCCGAACACACUGGGCGGCAAGCCUUUAAUAAGCAGAUCUGCAAAUACUUGUCUGUUGCUUUCAUGCUCCAAGCAUUUCAACAUAAUUCCGGACUUUCUCCUUAACAACGUAUAACUCUGUGUCAAUGUGUUUGGCACCACACUUGACUCGUUGUCAUAGGAGCGAAUUACUUAACGGUUAUUGUUGUCGUCAACCAUUAUCAACUCCGGGUACAUGUUUCUUUAACCAUUUUGCCUGUCCCUCGGCCUCAUAUCAUGUUGUACAUUAUUUUUACAUCAUAUUAAUGAUAAUUGAUUCAUUCUUUAGAGUUUUUCUACACAAAAACUCCAAGUGUGAAAGUCAGCGACAAUUGUGGAUUUCGCUGUAUAUUUCACAAGUUCUAUUUCUGUAUUCACAACCUUUCGAGAACACUUGCUCCUUUUAGCAUGAGGCCAAUAUUUUUGACUCCAUUCCAGUGAUCUAUAUCUGGACUGGACAUUACCAAAACAACCCGGUUAUGUGAACUGUGUCACGGUAAUGUUAUACUUUUGCAUUCAUUAAGCUUCCAACAGCUGAAGCAUAUGGUACCAUAUUCAUUUGGUCUAUUUCGUAUUUACUUUUGGAACACUAAAGUUCCCAAAAUCAUUACCCUUUACUAUAAGAACAGGUGUAGGUUUUCUCGCAUGCAUACUUUAGAAACUUUCCUUAGCAUGCCCAUGCGACACUCCUAAUACCCCUUUUUUUCUUUUCUCGGUGAAUCUCGAUCCUUAUAACGAGAGACAUUCUUUUGAACUUUGAGGACAAGAACUUCGUUUCCUCCUGCAGUAGAUUGACAUGACCACUAGCAAGUAGGACGUCAUCCACAUGCACAGGAUUAUGAAAUGAAUUUCCCAUUCUAUAACUUUGCUUGGAUACAAUUGUCCUCUCAUUUUCUUUAACCCUAAAUAACAUUUGAUUGCUUUAGUCCAUAAAAGACUUCUUCAGGCAGUAUCCCCUGUGUUCUUUACUUUCAUCUGAUGUAACUCAGAUCAUGAUGUCGAUCAUGAUGUGCCACUAACACUCAUUGUAAUCUAUUCAUUCUCUUUGCACAAAAUCUUUCGAUUUAAGUCGUGCUUUAUACCUUCACAUAUUUCCUUUGGAGUCACACUGACCUUGUAGACCCUUUACAGCCUAUUGUUUUGGCUUCAUUGGAAAUUACUCAUGAGUCCCAAACAUCGUCGGGAUUCACCAAAUUUAUUUCAUCUCAUAUAGUGUCUUAUCAUUUAGACAAAACAGACACUACUCAAAGCUCGAUUGAGUGCUUUAAUUGAGGUAGGAUCAACCUCCGUUAACAUAGACUUUAUAGUAAUCAGAAGUAUCUGAUUUUCUCAUUCCUUGAGACCAUCUGUGUGUCAGAUACUGGCACUUCUUUUCAUAUGGGGCUGUUGUUCCUCUUUCAUUGCCAAGAGGCAAAUUAAUUGUAUAGUCUUUCAUUUUCAAGCGGCCAUAGGUUUUAAUCAUUCCUCCUUUAUAGAGCUAACAACCUGUGUUGUAUAGGUCAUACAACAUGCUCCCCCAGAUACAAUCUAUUUGAGUCUUAGGUAUCUUCAUACCAUGCUCCCCCAGAUUACUCCAUCUUCACUAAGAAUGGCGUAUCUUUAAACUUUAUUAUUUAGGUUUAUUCUGUUAAAACUUUCUUCUUUAUGGCACUUUAAGCACCGACUUAGUAUUCCUUAGUUUUCUUUUCUUGAGGGGUAUUAUUAUGAUCAUCGUACUCCCCCAGACGGUCACAUUCUUCAUUAAUGGAUAUCUCAUAUUUCUUCCCCCCCCCCUCGAAAUGUGGCAAGAACUUUUUUGCCACAAUUUCGAAAAAACCAUUCACAACUCUUGUGAAUUGAGAAAAGUUUGAGUAUCUACUUCAUUUAUUUGAUUACUUCAUAUGUAACGAAGUUAUCUGUUGACUGGUAUGGGAGUACUUUUUCCUUAUUCCAUUUCAGAAACUCAACAGAGUUCUUUAUCAUUAGUACUUUUGCAAGUCACACUUGCAUAUCAUUCUUAUCUUUAGGUUCGUCUGUAACUUUUAUUCUCUUCGGAGUUAUUGAGUGCUUAAUGAUUGUUACACAUAAGAUGUAUGGUCGAUACUAGGAAAGCACAAUAGCUACUCCAUACUUUUCUCCCAGAGUGGGACACAUUAAAAUCACAUGAGUCAUCAUGUGUUUCUCCUGUCAUACAGGAUAAGUCUGAGAAAAUUUCUGCCGCCAUACGGGUUACGAAGGGAUUUUCCCAGACUUUUCCUGCUAUGCGGGUUUUAUCAUAAUCAUAUUUUCCCGCCAUGCGGGUAAUUCUCUGUAAGGGACAUAAAUGCCAGAAUUGGCUCUUUGGACUGCAUAUUCAAUCAUCAAGUUUAUAAAUAAAUCCGAAUGCUCUUUGACACAUAUGCUUGAUCAUGCAUGUUGCUUGUUUCAUCUCAAAUCAUGUUGACUGAAAAAUCUUGUUCAUAGAGAGUACAUGAAAGACAUUCGUCAACCAAGACUCUCAAUGAUCUAUCUCUUUUCUUUUCUUGGAUAUUAAUAUCCGAGAAUUAUUUUCUUUUGAAGCCAUUCUUUAGAGAGAACAUACUCCCUCACAUUAUGACCUUUCUUGGUCAUCUUUCGGGUCACAAGUACCCAGACAUUCGUUUUCACGAAUGAAGGCAUGGAAAAAUUAUAGUCUGAGAAAAAUUAGCCAAUAAUCAACAAUAAUGAGCAUAAAAAUAACCCCAUGUUGAUCUAGUUAAAAAAUACGCACAUUAAAUUUUUAAAACUUCCUUUUAUAUUCUAAAUCACCGUUGGGCUGAAUUAGAACGAAACAUCAUCCUUAUCCUUCUACAUUAAUUCCAUAUCACCGUCGGGCAGAAAUGGAAAUAACGCAUAUAACUUAUAAAUAAUGUGAUGAUAAAAUUUCUAUUAAGCAACUUUGCUAAGAAAAUAAUCAUCAUUAUCAACUUUAUUGCAGCGGAAAACUAACAAUAUACAUUUCUCACUCUUUAUCAAAUGCUUUGAAAUUUGUCACUUUGAUACAAAACUUAUCAGAGAUUUGAACUUUUAACUAUAAGACUCAUUGAAUUAUAAUAUUGUCAUCUUCAACGUUGGUCAGAAAAUAACAAUACCAUAAUUAAACUUUAAUCAAAUAUCUUUCUACUGUCAUAGCAGAAGCUAUCUGAAUCUGAGAUUUGACCCACAGGGGUAAAACAUGGCUAAGAACAUUUUUUUCCAAUUAAAUUUUCCCGUUGGUUCCAAUUUAAUUGAAGAUAAAACUUUUACUUUGCAGCGGAAAACAUGAAUAAAAAAUUCAUGACCUUUUAUUCUUGACAGAAACUUUUCUUUGACCAAAAUAAAAAAUCAUGAACUUUAUUAUUUCCUUUAUAAAAAUUCAUGACCUUUUCUUUUUCUGAAAAGUUUAUAUUUUUAUUUUCAGAAACUUUUCUAUUUUUCUUUGCAGGAAUGUUUCUAUUCCUUUUCUAUUUUCUAAACAAAUUUGCGUUGGAUUAUUAAUUUGAAUAGAAAAACUAUAUUAAAUUUGCCCAAAUAAACGGACAAAAGACCAUUUUAGACCGGCCCAACCACCGAGCGCACGCGCCUGCCGGCCUUUCCUCUAGCCUAAACUGGCCCAAAGGGCCCAGCGCGGGGCGCUGAUCUCUGGCCUGGUCCGGCAGACCAGAAGCCCAAGCCACUUUCGGCCUACUGGCCUGUCUGCGCUAGGGUUUUAUCUGUGACCGUCGAUUAGGAUCGGACUGUCCAGCGCCGAUUUCGCUAGAAUAGAACUGGGAGGGGUUCCUCCCGAUCGAAACCUAGCGCCCCCAUUCGCAUCGUUCGACUCAACCCCUCUGCGCCUCUCUCCGUCGCCCCUCUGUGCGGCAGCGGUGGCCGAGCGGAGACCGCGAUGCCUCUGCCGCACUACGGCGGCAUCCUCUACGUCGGCACCCAAGACGGCCGACGCCCAGGCCUCGCGCGGGAGGCGCUGCUGCGAAGGCACGGCGGCCCCGGCGGCCGGUUCCGAAGGCCCGCGUGACGGGGAAAACUCUCUGGAUCGAAAAUUCUUUUUCUGUUUCUGUAAUCAUCUGUCAUCAUUUAAUCGAUCUAGGAACUGUAGGUCACGAUUUCUUUUCUUUGUACUACUCGAAAAAUCUAGAGCCUAGAUCGCUCUGACACCAUUGUUAAGACCAUGGGAUCGACUAGGCUAGGAUUUCGGAGUAGAUUGAACUAUCUAUGAUCUGUUUGUGUGUAUACCUUAGCGUUCCGGCCAUCGCUUCAGCGACGGUCGGUGUAGAGGUCGAUGGUGAUGGCCGAGAGUGGUGGCGUCGGUGGGCUUCCCAUCGCUUCAGCGCCUCCCUCUAGAUCGGAUAGGGUUAGGAGUGGGGAACAGUGGUGGCGACGAACCUCGUACCUCGUGCCUCUGGUCCCCACCUCCUCUUUAUAGCACUGCACGACAGGGGCCCACCAGCCUUGCUUGGGCUGGACGCCCCCGAUCAG